GUGAGGAAUAUUGGUCAAUGGGCGGGAGCCUGAACCAGCCAAGUCGCGUGAAGGAAGAAGGAUCUAUGGUUCGUAAACUUCUUUUGCAGGGGAAUAAAGUGCGGGACGUGUCCUGUUUUGUAUGUACCCUGAGAAUAAGGAUCGGCUAACUCCGUGCCAGCAGCCGCGGUAAUACGGAGGAUCCGAGCGUUAUCCGGAUUUAUUGGGUUUAAAGGGUGCGUAGGUGGUUUGAUAAGUCAGCGGUGAAAGUUUGCAGCUUAACUGUAAAAAUGCCGUUGAAACUGUCGGACUUGAGUGUAAAUGAGGUAGGCGGAAUGCGUGGUGUAGCGGUGAAAUGCAUAGAUAUCACGCAGAACUCCGAUUGCGAAGGCAGCUUACUAAGCUACAACUGACACUGAAGCACGAAAGCGUGGGGAUCAAACAGGAUUAGAUACCCUAGUAGUCC
Molecule: ribosomal RNA, 445 nt
Filed under: uncultured bacterium
Lineage: Bacteria
Description: partial 16S ribosomal RNA
Rfam family: Bacterial small subunit ribosomal RNA
Source: RNAcentral